UAUGAAAUGAAUAUCUAGUAA
This 21-nucleotide non-coding RNA is filed under the name Caenorhabditis elegans. The record is from RNAcentral. Lineage: Eukaryota; Metazoa; Nematoda; Chromadorea; Rhabditida; Rhabditidae.